This 253-nucleotide ribosomal RNA is filed under the name uncultured bacterium. RNAcentral's name for it is "partial 16S ribosomal RNA". It matches the Rfam family "Bacterial small subunit ribosomal RNA", at positions 524 to 776 of the family's 1533-position model. The record is from RNAcentral.
UACGGGGGGGGCAAGCGUUGUUCGGAAUUACUGGGCGUAAAGGGCGCGUAGGCGGGCGGCCGCGUCCGGGGUGAAAUCCCACGGCUCAACCGUGGAACGGCCUCGGAUACGGGCGGCCUCGAGGGGGGUAGGGGCAUCUGGAACUGUGAGUGGAGCGGUGAAAUGCGUUGAUAUUCACAGGAACUCCGGUGGCGAAGGCGAGGUGCUGGACCCCAUCUGACGCUGAGGCGCGAAGGCCAGGGGAGCAAACGGG